This 453-nucleotide ribosomal RNA is filed under the name Apogonia sp. BMNH 703614. RNAcentral's name for it is "partial 16S ribosomal RNA". It matches the Rfam family "Archaeal large subunit ribosomal RNA", at positions 1911 to 2611 of the family's 2987-position model. Lineage: Eukaryota; Metazoa; Arthropoda; Insecta; Coleoptera; Scarabaeidae. RNAcentral also lists the same sequence under 1 other name. The record is from RNAcentral.
GUCUUUUUGAUAAUAAUUUAAAGUCUAAUCUGCCCAAUGAUACGUUAAAUGGCCGCGGUAAUUUGACCGUGCAAAGGUAGCAUAAUCAUUAGUUUUUUAAUUGGAAGCUGGUAUGAACGAUUGGACGAGGGAAUGACUGUCUCUGUUUAAUUGUUUUGAAUUUUAUUUUUUAGUAAAAAAGCUUAAAUAUUUUUAAUAGACGAGAAGACCCUAUAGAGUUUUAUAUAGAGAUUUGUGUGUAUUUUGAGUUAUAUUUAUAUAGAUAUAUUUUGAUGUAUUUUGUUGGGGUGAUAGAAAAAUUAAAUGAACUUUUUUUAUUUUAAUUCAUUAAUUUAUGAUUAAGUGAUCCAUGUUUUAUGAUAAUAAGAUGAAAUUACCUUAGGGAUAACAGCGUAAUUUUUUUUUAGAGUUCUAAUCGAAAAAAGAGUUUGCGACCUCGAUGUUGGAAUUAAA